This 375-nucleotide ribosomal RNA is filed under the name uncultured bacterium. RNAcentral's name for it is "bacterial SSU rRNA". It matches the Rfam family "Bacterial small subunit ribosomal RNA", at positions 396 to 784 of the family's 1533-position model. The record is from RNAcentral.
ACCGCGUGGGGGGAAGAAGGCUCUUGGGUUGUAAACUCCUUUUCUCUGGGAAGAACAAAAUGACGGUACCAGAGGAAUCAGCAUCGGCUAACUCCGUGCCAGCAGCCGCGGUAAGACGGAGGAUGCAAGCGUUAUCCGGAAUGAUUGGGCGUAAAGCGUCCGCAGGUGGCAGUUCAAGUCUGCUGUCAAAGACCGGGGCUUAACCUCGGAAAGGCAGUGGAAACUGAACAGCUAGAGUAUGGUAGGGGCAAAGGGAAUUCCUGGUGUAGCGGUGAAAUGCGUAGAGAUCAGGAAGAACAUCGGUGGCGAAGGCGCUUUGCUGGACCAUAACUGACACUCAGGGACGAAAGCUAGGGGAGCGAAUGGGAUUAGAUA